UACGGGGGGGGUAAGCGUUGUUCGGAAUUACUGGGCGUAAAGGGCGCGUAGGCGGCCCGCUAAGUCGAACGUGAAAUCCCCAGGCUCAACCUGGGAACUGCGUCCGAUACUGGCAGGCUUGAAUCCGGGAGAGGGAUGUGGAAUUCCAGGUGUAGCGGUGAAAUGCGUAGAUAUCUGGAGGAACACCGGUGGCGAAGGCGGCAUCCUGGACCGGUAUUGACGCUGAGGCGCGAAAGCUAGGGGAGCAAACGGG
Molecule: ribosomal RNA, 253 nt
Filed under: uncultured bacterium
Lineage: Bacteria
Description: partial 16S ribosomal RNA
Rfam family: Bacterial small subunit ribosomal RNA
Source: RNAcentral